Non-coding RNA from Acanthosepion pharaonis, 110 nucleotides. The record is from the annotation of a GenBank genome assembly. Lineage: Eukaryota; Metazoa; Mollusca; Cephalopoda; Sepiida; Sepiidae.
GGCCGCAUCAUCUUGAAAUGCCAGUUCCCAUAUGAUCACUGAAGUUAAGCAACAUUAAACCUGGUCAAUACCUAGAUGGAUGACCACUUGGUAAUACCAGGUGCUGUAAG